GAAAAAUCAACACUGCAACGGGAGUCUAGAUGGGCUGGGAAGGAAAAUCACAUGAGACUUCGUUGGUGUCCUGGGAGGACAGGAUGAGCACUUCCACCCUCGAGUGCAUUUGUAUUUCAGGACUUCCAGUUGAGUGGUGUCCACAGCAGGUCACUGAGAUGUGAGCGUGGAGAGAGGAGCCUGCAUGACCAGACUAGAACUCAGGGAGCUGGCGCUUCUCAAAUUCCUGUUGAUCCAAAGCAAAUUCACCUCAGAAGGGGAGAGCGCACUUACUGCCAAGAGAAGACUGUGACUCACACCUCGAAUAGACCGUCUUUCUUUUUGCAAGGAGGAGGCCCGGAAGGAUGUCUCACUGGGAUCUCGGGGAGCACAUGAGACAGCAGAGGCACCCAGGAAGAGUGGUGAAGUAAGACCAAUGAGAAGUACAUCGUAAUUCACUAUAGCAAAUGUUAACCAUUUCUGGAAAAGGGAAGUCCUGCCAACUAACUACUGGUGCAGCUGUUAAGCUGGGUUGGUGGAGGCCUGUAGCUGCUGCAAGGUGUUUGUGUUUUCAGGUUUCCUUCUACAGCAUGAGGGCCCCUACUUCCCUUUCUGGAUGCCCCUACACUUCAGUAACUCAAUAUGGAGGAGAUUUCUCUGCUCCCAAACACCAGCAGGAAGAGAGAAACUGUGAAGGCAGUCGGUCUGCAUCACAGUUGUUGUGGUCACCCCCGCACUGUGUCCCUGUCCACACCAUGCCACCCAUGAUGGCGUGGCAGCCACUUUUCACCUGCAAGGACACCGAUCGUAGAGUGAAGAUUUCCAGCACGCUGUGAUGUUUCACUUUAACAACCGCAGGAGGAGGAUGUGAUGUUAUCUCCAUUGAUGGAGACACUUUGGAGACAUGGAGAGGUUAAGAAACUUUCUCGAGGUCAUGCAGUAGGAGGUGGCAGCCCAGGGUUCAGCUUCAGUCCAACUGCCUUUUCACCAGUGUUCCUGCUUUGCUUCCCCAGAUGCGCAGCUGACCCUCUUAUCUCAGCUGACAUGGUUAAAAGUGAGAAUGGAUGGAUCCCGUGCAGGGAAGGCCCGUGACAUCAAACCCAACCCUCGCCCUCAAAGUGGAAUAAUCCGUACUCUCCAAAGGAGUCUCUGAUGGUGAUUUGAUCCGGACCUCACGGAUCCACACUUUGGCUUUUUAUCUGUUGUGUCCUCAUUUCUCAAACUUGGAAAUUUCCAUGCAAACAGAGCUGCAGAAGGAAAAAAAUGUGUUCCAGUUUGCCAGUAGAAAUACAAUGCAAGACACAUGAGUAAUCAUGUAUCUUCCAGGAGCUGUGCAUUAGAACUGUAAUAAGAAACAGGUGC
This 1341-nucleotide long non-coding RNA is filed under the name Heterocephalus glaber (naked mole-rat). RNAcentral describes it as "lncRNA (ENSHGLG00000048448.1)". The record is from RNAcentral. Lineage: Eukaryota; Metazoa; Chordata; Mammalia; Rodentia; Bathyergidae.